This 468-nucleotide ribosomal RNA is filed under the name uncultured bacterium. Its description in RNAcentral is "partial 16S ribosomal RNA". It matches the Rfam family "Bacterial small subunit ribosomal RNA", at positions 28 to 507 of the family's 1533-position model. The record is from RNAcentral.
GACGAACGCUGGCGGCGUGCUUAACACAUGCAAGUCGAACGGAAAGGCCCUGCUUUUGUGGGGUGCUCGAGUGGCGAACGGGUGAGUAACACGUAAGUAACCUGCCCUUGACUUUGGGAUAACUUCUGGAAACUGGGGCUAAUACCGGAUAGGAGCUCCUGCUGCAUGGUGGGGGUUGGAAAGUUUCGGCGGUUGGGGAUGGACUCGCGGCUUAUCAGCUUGUUGGUGGGGUAGUGGCUUACCAAGGCUUUGACGGGUAGCCGGCCUGAGAGGGUGACCGGCCACAUUGGGACUGAGAUACGGCCCAGACUCCUACGGGAGGCAGCAGUGGGGAAUAUUGCACAAUGGGCGGAAGCCUGAUGCAGCAACGCCGCGUGCGGGAUGACGGCCUUCGGGUUGUAAACCGCUUUCGCCUGUGACGAAGCGUGAGUGACGGUAAUGGGUAAAGAAGCACCGGCUAACUACGUG